GAUGAAGAACGUAGCGAAAUGCGAUAAGUAAUGUGAAUUGCAGAAUUCAGUGAAUCAUCGAAUCUUUGAACGCACAUUGCGCCCGCGAGUAUUCUCGCGGGCAUGCCUGUCCGAGCGUCAUUUCAACCCUCAGGGCCCGCCUGCUUCGGCAGGCGCGGCGCUGGUGUUGGGGAUCGGCCUAACCGCCGUCCCCCAAAUACAGUGGCGGUCUCGCUGCAGCCUCCCCUGCGUAGUAGCAACACUCGCAGGCGGAGCGCGGCGCGGCCACGCCGUAAAACCCCCGACUUUCUGAACGUUGACCUCGGAUCAGGUAGGAAUACCCGCUGAACUUAAGCAUAUCAAUAAGCGGAGGA
RNAcentral lists this unclassified non-coding RNA (353 nucleotides) under soil metagenome. Its description in RNAcentral is "partial contains 5.8S ribosomal RNA, internal transcribed spacer 2, and large subunit ribosomal RNA". The stretch from base 1 to 120 matches the Rfam family "5.8S ribosomal RNA", at positions 35 to 154 of the family's 154-position model. The record is from RNAcentral.